Balaenoptera acutorostrata (minke whale) is the source of this 105-nucleotide small nuclear RNA. The record is from RefSeq and is a predicted model, not a curated record. Lineage: Eukaryota; Metazoa; Chordata; Mammalia; Artiodactyla; Balaenopteridae.
UUGCUUGGGCAGCACAUACACUAACGUUAGAACAAUACAGAUGACAUUAGCAUGGCCCCUGCACAAGGAUGACACACACAAAUUCAUAAAGUGUUACAUAUUUUU